RNAcentral lists this long non-coding RNA (1262 nucleotides) under Zonotrichia albicollis (white-throated sparrow). RNAcentral's name for it is "lncRNA (ENSZALG00000017184.1)". The record is from RNAcentral. Lineage: Eukaryota; Metazoa; Chordata; Aves; Passeriformes; Passerellidae.
AAUUCCCAUAAUCUGAAUUUCGUGGAGGUCAUGAGACAUGAAAAAAGCUGUUUUAAAUAAUGUGGGACUACUACAGUCCUGCUCAGUUCAGAAUUUAAAAGGCCACGGAAAUAUGGACUGUGUGGACCAUAUUCUUUAUGAGAUUUACAGAUCUCUUUAAUCAAUUGUUGUCCAAAAGAACUCCAAUUAGCAGUUGGGGCCACCCCCCCUUGUGCUGCAGGCUGAAAUGUAACAGGAGCCAAUGACAAGGUGGGACCCUGUGUUGGGCCUGCUGUUGCCUGCUCUGUAUCCCUUGAAUCAGAAGCAUUGGGAUAACAGAUACAACUGUUUGGGGACAGGCAGUGGGUGUGUCCCCACCGUGGGAACCCGGGGAGAGGGCGGGGACACAAUGGGCACAGGAGGGAGAGACAGGGGGCUGGCAAGGGGCAGUGAUACCAUUGGAACAGGGGGCGGGGAUGCCUGGUGACAUCACGUCAGCAGACGCCCCCUGGGAGGAGUAGAGAGGCGGAGCUGAGGGUACUGCAGGAAAGGGAGGGGGAGGGGGGAAGGUGUCACGAGGAACAGGAGGAGAGGGGCAUGGGGAUGGAAUUUUAGGAUGCUUAAGAGGAUUUUGGGAAGAAGAAGACCAGGUUUGGGAUGAUGCCAUGUGGCAUCCUCCAUCUUGUGGAUCCCCUGGGGACUGGGGGCCAUUUUGGGCAUCACAGCUCUCUGGAAAGCUGACAUGUGCUCUGGGUUUCAGAGGAGGGGAGCUAGGAGAGGGAGAAACAGGGAGAGCAGAGGUACAUGGCUUUACAUUUGGCUUUUUCUCCAUUUCCUUUUGUUUGAGCAAGGCUGUUCGAAUUUGUAAACUCCAGAACACAAAUUUAGCUGAGGAUGUGUUCCCAGACUGUCCUAAGGUUAUCAAUUAAUUCCCUACUUUAUCCCAAAAUUGAAUAUUGUGGAUUUCUUCAGGGGAGACUUGUGGGAAGUGUAGAAAAAGCCAUCUUAUAAACCGUUUCAAUUUUCCUUUAGAGAACUUUACAUUACCAGUGACUAAAAUACUAACAAUAUGAUAAUACACUCCUUUUUGUACAAUGCUGAGAUUCGAGCCCAUGUUAGAUGUAAAAGGCAAAGUACAAAAUCCCGCCUGACCAAAAACAAAGCCAAAAUCAGCUACUGAUUUCUAAAAAAACCCACAAAUAGGAAAAGCGAUAUCGCGCAGACAAAAGCUUUACAAUGCAGCUGUAUAUACUGCUUUUAAAAUUCCCGGGCAGCAGCAGCAG